This 378-nucleotide ribosomal RNA is filed under the name uncultured bacterium. RNAcentral's name for it is "bacterial SSU rRNA". It matches the Rfam family "Bacterial small subunit ribosomal RNA", at positions 524 to 898 of the family's 1533-position model. The record is from RNAcentral.
UACGUAGGGGGCGAGCGUUGUCCGGAUUCAUUGGGCGUAAAGAGCUCGUAGGCGGUUCAGUAAGUCAGGUGUGAAAGCUCCGAGCUCAACUCGGAGACGCCAUCUGAUACUGCUGUGACUAGAAUCCAGUAGGGGAGUGUGGAACUCCUGGUGUAGCGGUGGAAUGCGCAGAUAUCAGGAAGAACACCAGCGGCGAAGGCGGCACUCUGGGCUGGUAUUGACGCUGAGGAGCGAAAGUGUGGGUAGCAAACAGGAUUAGAUACCCUGGUAGUCCACACCGUAAACGUUGGGCACUAGGUGUGGGGAGGAAUCAACCCUCUCCGUGCCGUAGCUAACGCAUUAAGUGCCCCGCCUGGGGAGUACGGCCGCAAGGCUAAA